AUGUGGUUAAGUUACUAAGGGCACACGGUGGAUGCCUUGGCGCUAGGAGCCGAAGAAGGACGCAGCGAACUGCGAUAAGCCUCGGGGAGCGGUAAGCACGCUUUGAUCCGGGGAUCUCCGAAUGGGGAAACCCACCAUCUGUAAUGGGAUGGUAUCCAUCACUGAAUACAUAGGUGAUGAGAAGGCAGACCCGGUGAACUGAAACAUCUAAGUAGCCGGAGGAAGAGAAAACAAUAGUGAUUCCGUCAGUAGUGGCGAGCGAACGCGGAAGAGCCUAAACCGUCGGGUUUACCCGGCGGGGUUGUGGGGCGUCUCACAUGGAGUUACAAAAGACGCGCGUAGGUGAACAGCUUGGGAAAGCUGACCAUAGAGCGUGAUAGUCGCGUAACCUAAACGCGCGUCUCUCC
Molecule: ribosomal RNA, 407 nt
Filed under: Brevibacillus brevis
Lineage: Bacteria; Bacillati; Bacillota; Bacilli; Caryophanales; Paenibacillaceae
Description: bacterial LSU rRNA
Rfam family: Bacterial large subunit ribosomal RNA
Source: RNAcentral